Molecule: unclassified non-coding RNA, 1021 nt
Filed under: Hevea brasiliensis (rubber tree)
Lineage: Eukaryota; Viridiplantae; Streptophyta; Magnoliopsida; Malpighiales; Euphorbiaceae
Source: RNAcentral
UAGUCCUAAAGCAUUCAACCUCUUUGUGCAUUCUUCUCCUCCCAAUCGUGAACAGAACUUGAUAUUAUGUGACACAAAGAUUCGACCUUCUUGAGGCUUCAAUUUAGCAGCUAGCCUCUCCAAACCAACCCAAACAAGUUUAUCAGGGAUAUGAAGAAAAACAGCACUUGCAUAUAUCAGAUCAUACAUAGUUCCGGAUCCAAAUUUACUGAAAUCCAUGUCUUCACCUCUAACAAUAAGGGGACGCUUGUGUAAUAAGCCUUGAGACGGAAGCUCAUAUCUGAAUGCAGCCAUUAAAGAAAGUUCAUCUCUCUCAAGACAGUGGAAGUGUUCUGGGUUCAGAUACCGGAUGAAAUGUAAUCCAACACGAAGAGUACCACAUCCGAUCUCUAGAACUUGAGCAUUUGGGGUUAGAUGGGCUGACUCUGCAAGGAAUUCAAAAACAUCCCUCCCUCCUGCCCAUGGUUCUCCAUAAUUGCUAUGAUGUUGUUCUACGAGGAGUUCACCGGGACAAGGAAGGGCAGUGUGAUUAUUCGUCGGUUCUCCUUCAUAAUGUGAUAUGCCCUUGAACUGAAGAAGAUCCUGGAGCUGUUGUUGGCGAGUACGAGGGUUGAUCCCUUUGCGCAGCACAUUAUCCGCCAUAUGGAGUCCAUUACCUUCGAUCUGUUUCUUCACCCACUCUAUAUCCUCUGUUGACGUCGAGAUCCGUUCUCCGGUGCCGGAUCUGUAGCCACCACCGCCACUGACGGCGGUGGUUGUAGCGACAGGGCAAUUACACGGUGGUGGUGAGGAGAAAAGAAAAAAGAAUAAUACGGCGGAAAAGGCGGCGCCGGAGAGGAGCAGCACCGGCAGAGAUACUACCACUCCCUUCGAUGAGGACGAUAGCAGAGCCAUAAGAGUGGUGAUAUGUUUCUGCGUUUCAGUAUUUGUAGAUUUUGUAGUUCAAUAAUGGCGCACAACUGUGAGCUCGGGAUCUAUUGUACCAUCUGUUUAGCAGAUCGUACAUUUCACUCUUUUUUUU